GAUCAGGACUACACAGUUAGUAGUCGUACUCAUCUUUUUUCCAUUUCGCUGUUCCACUUCUGCUGAAGAUAAUUCCUGUAAGCUUUUUCCUUUUCUUGAACAUCUCCGGUUAUAAGCUGAAAGUGGAAUUUUCUUCUCCCAGUAUUUCACCUUGCAGACAACAAAUCUAUAUUUCUCUCUCCUUCUCUCUCUCUGUAAUUCUCCAGCACGCUUUCACUCUUUGUCUCUCUCGGGACAUAAUCUUGAAUUUUCACGGAUUUGAACGUCCUUUCUGCAAACCCUUCUCAAUUUUUGUUUCGUGUUUCGGGUUUAUUUCUUUUGCUUGUUUAUCUUCUUCUUUUUUUGGUGCUUCGGGAUAUUUGCUUGUUUAUCUUCUAGUCUCUCUCUCUCUCUCUCUCUCUCUCUCUCUCUCUCCGGCAUAGUCUUGCAGUUCUUGGAUUUGAAGGUACUUUCUUCAUACCCUUUUCACUUUCUUGGUUCUUUGUUUUGGGUUCAUCUUAUUUCUUUGUUUUUCCGACUGUAGAUCUGGGAAUUGAGCACUUGCUGCAAAAGUUGUAUGCUCCAUUUUCUUAUAUAUAAUCCAUGAGCAGAUAUACUUUACGGUUGUAUAUCUACACAUAGGUAGGAGAAUUCGGAGACCUUCUUUGGGUGUAGGAUUUCUGAGUCAUACAUUUUCUUGUUAAUUUAUAUUGUGGUUUUGUUAAGACUUAAGAUGGAGUGAAUAAAAUUUUGUGGUGAUAUCUUUUAAAGUCUUUUAAUUUGAAAACUAGGGUUUCCAAAAGUUCAAGGUGUUCUCCCUAUUGCAAAAGUUCCUUGAGGUUUUAUGGUUGGAAGGUGGAACAUUUUCUCAAUACAAUACAAUACCUCACAUUUCUCCAAAAAAAAAAGAAAAAAGAAAUUGUUGGACUUUUUAUUCCCAAUGUUUUUUCCCUGGUAUUAGAGCUUCGGGUGAUCCAAACCUUUCCUUUGGUAAACACUUUUUUUUUUGACCUUCUAGUUUUUAUUUAUUUAUCUAGUUUAUAGUUAAUUUAUUAUUGGAAGAUCUGAAACGUGCUUGUUUUACAGGGAGCUGUAACUGGUGUUUAGGUUACUGCAAAUUAUGUGGUUUUUUUAUUUUGCUGAUCUAGCUGUAUCACCACUCAUAUUGUCUGUUUUUUUAAUGCUAUUUAGAAGACUUUGGUUGUUAUAUAUAUACUGCAUGCAUGUGAUCAUAUUAUUCUGCUACUUAGAGAUAAUCACAUGAUCAUGUAACUUUCUUGGUACUGAUGCUGCUUUCAUUUAAUGCUUAAAAUAGUUGAGAUCAUGCACUGAUGCACUCUCUCUCUGGUAGGGGUGUUCAAUUGAGUUUUGAUUUUUUCUAUGUCUUGGAGCUUUGUGUUGUAAACACCAAACAAUAGACAUCAUAAAUAUUUUGAAAAAUUCAUUCCAUUAGGGCUAUGGGCUUGUUUGAUUGGAGGGAUAUUGGAUUAUGCGGGAUUGUAAUCAAGGGAUUGUUAAUGGUCUAAUGGUGUUAGUCUUGUCUAGAUAAUGGACAAGUUCUAUCCCGCUUAUCCCGUAUUUGUUUUGAAGACCCCUUGAAAGGGAUUAGUGGUUCAAAUGACUAUAGUACCUCUAAUGCAAUUCAUAUUUCCACCCAUGUUUAGCUCUUGGACUCUUGUUCUUCUGCCUAAUUUCUUUAAUGUAGUAUUGUUUUUUUAUCAUCUUCUUUGAUAUAUAAGAAGUUGUUUUUUCUAUAAGGUCGGUAAAAAAAUGAUAUUUUGGGUAUAUAAUAAUGAAGGAUACAUUUUCUUUUAUCAAAGUUGGUAUGGAUGUGAUUUUCAUGAAGAUUGGUUGGAAUAAUAUAUAUAUAUAUAUAUAUAUAUAUAUAUAUAUUUUUUUUUUUUUUUUUUGGGUAUGCAUUGAACCUAUGACAUUUUUUCUUCACCAGCAAUGGUACAAAAGUUAUUUUGUAAACAAAAACAGAAGGUUUUAUUUUAUUUUAUAUUAAGUUGGUAACAAAAGUUAUUUCUAGUACAAAUGAUCAAUGAUAACAAAAGUUCUUUUCAUUAUCAAGGUUGGUACAAAAGUGUUUUAAUAAUGAAGAAUUUUUUUUAAAUUUUUUGGUAGAAAAUGAUGAACUAUAACGUAAGGCGUUUUUUUGUCAAGAUUGUUACAAAAGUUUUUCCUGAUACAAGAUCAUGAACUAUAAGAGAACUUUAUUUUAUGCAAGGUUGGUAUCAAAAGCUUUUUUCUGGUAAAGAAUUAUGAAGGAUAGCAGAAGUUUUUUUUUUUUUUUUUCCACAAGGUGGGUACAACAACUUUGUUUGGUACAAAAUGAUGAACUCUAACAAACACACACACACACACACACACACACACACACACACACACACAUAUAUAUAUAUAUAUAUAUUUUAUGAUAAAAAAAUGAACAUUUUUUUUUUUUAAAAGAGGUGGUCAGUGCAAAGAACAAUGGGCUAGAGACAUUAGAUGUGGAUUCAAUUAGAAUUACCCGCGAUUGAUUUGUGCCUUCUUUAAAGGAUAUUGAGUCCAAUUAGGACUAAUGGUCCAGUGGUAGAUAGACACACAAAUAUAGGAUUAGGAGAGGUGUGGGGAUUGUCCUAUCCCACCUCUGGUCCCUCGAAUCAAAUAGGCCCUUAAAGUUUUAAAAACCGGCCAGUAUGUAACUGUUGAUGCAAGGCCUGAAUUGGAUGCAAAUUAACUGGUAUAGUGGUGAGGGCCAAAUAUUUACUAGUUAACCGGCCGUCCCUGAUUAGUAACAGUGGGUUUUUUUUUUAUCCGGUUGUUCACCGGGGAAUGGGAUUAGGCCUUCGUAGGAUCAUAGAGCCUUUUCAUUGUUGGAAAUCCUAAAUAAUAAAUUUGUACUCGAUUUCAAUUCUAAGACAAAAUGGUAAUUGUUUUGUGUCCAUCGUGACCUUGUGUUUCAAGCAUGCUUCCUGCUUGGGAUUGUGCACUCCCACAACCAUUGUUAUGAAGCUUGGGGCUUUUUUUCAAUUUCAUUUACCUGUGUGGGAUUGAUGGUUUUGAAUUGUUUGAAAUCUAGCCUUGGGUGACCAUAGAUUUUCAGUGCUGUCCCUUUGCCCCCAUUUUCUAAAUUGUGUAUAACCAUUUUUGAGGAUUUGCUUUGAAUGUUCAAGGUGAACACAAAUUUGGAGGUAUACAACAUUGGAAAUGUGGAUAGACAAAGUAGGAUGCGGGGUAUUAGUUUGCAAAAGGAAUACGUAGAUGUUAUAACAUAGAUUAAACAUGUAAUAUUGAAAUGAACUUUUUUUGUUGAACAUGUGUUGAGGAUUUUAUUUUAAAAAAAUUCACGAAUGUGACACUCGAUAUCUAUGCAUAUUGCUUGAUAUGUAGCACUACACCUACCAUUGAUCAUCUUCUUAUCCAUUUAUUGCAAGGUGAAAUAAGAGUAAAAUAAGAAUUACAUCGCGGAAGUUUGAAUUUGAUGCUCAAUUACGGUAAGGUGUGUUUUGGAGGGGAUGGAAGAAUCAAGAGAAAGGAUAAGAAGAGUAAUGAAGUGUAAAGGUUAAAUUUAGGCAUAAAUCCAUUAUAGAAACCAAUGUAGCACAAACACUUCGCCGAAGGUCAAAUACCGGUUUAUGAUGCUGGCACUAUCCGGACACGUUCUGGCACUAAAAUCAAAAGUGUCCUAUUAUUUCUCAAUGUUCUUCGUUGGACACUUUUGGGAACACUCUAAAUAUUGCUUUAGAUGCUUUAUGGACACUACGGAUACUCACACGACACUCAUUGGGGAUGGUAAAAGCAAUAGUAGACUUCGUAGACAAGUUAAAGCUUAAGGAAGUCUUUGUUUUUCGUGCGACAGAUGAUAGUUUACUUAUUAUAAUGACACAAUACUUUUGUGAAUUAUGUAAUCAUGAGAUUGAAAGUGUACAUCGUUUUAUAAAUUUAUAUUAGAGCCUAAUCAUUAUUCUUUACUCAUACAAUACUUGUAAUUUUUUGUAAAGUGAGUCCUGACGGCUUGUCCUUCAAUUAUGUAAAAUUUGCAAUUGUUGAUGUUGUGUCGCGUGUCAGUGUCAAUGCUACAUUGAUAGAACACAUCCAAUUAAAAUAGUGAAUGCUUUUUGUUUGUGUGUUAAUCCUUACAUUUUUUCUUAUUGUACAGUUUUGAGAUGUAUGGGGGCCGCUAUUCAACAGUAAAACUUUUUAAGAGCAAUCAAUUUGUGCACAUAUUGCCGAAUUUUAAGUCUAUUUGCAAUCAUUCCUCACCCAUUCCCUCAUCAAUUGGGAAGUACAUGCGUACUCUAUUCCUUUUUUCUUAUAGCAUGUUUUCUUUUCACUGCAGAUAUUUUUGAAGCUUUGACACACUAUUGUUUGACGACGAGAGAGAGCACGCUAGUAUGCGUUCAUGCUUGGACAUGAUUGUGUACAAGCGUGCUUUCUAUCGUCGUCAUACAUUUUGUUGGUCAAUGCAAGCUCAAUUCCUCCUCAUAUGUUCGUCCUUGCAUUUUUGCGAGUGUGUGAUAUAACUCAUCCCCACAGUCUGAGAUUUGAGAUCCUUCUAUUGCAUAUGUGACUCAGAGGAGAGAACUUGUUGCUAUUUCUUCAGAAUGCCUACAAAACUUCAUUUGCAUUUUAGGGACUUGACAAAUCAAUUUGGAUCAGGUGAAGUGUUUUCUCUCAAGUUCAAGCCUUUCAGGUUCCUCACAUAGUCCAACCAUUAGUUAUUACAGAGUACUUUUGUUUUGCGAUAUCUCAUUUUUUAAUAUCUUUAAUUAGCCGGAAAAAAAAGAAAAAUCUUUUAUGAAAAGGUUGAUACCAACGUGCAAUAAGAGUUUGACGUCUCAAAAGGGCCAAAGAUGGACUGUUAGGAGGAUUCCAUAAGGUUUAGGACCCAUGUCACAUGGGCUAGGGUAUGGUUACCACGGCAAGUACAAUUCGUCAUUUUUUAUGCAACAAAUUGCUUAGGGAGUGAGGGACUGCCAUCCCUCUUUCUGUCCUCUUGGAAAUUGUUAAAUGUAUAAGCUAAAACAUGUCUUUGAUUAUGCAAAGGAUGAGAGACGAUGAAGCAAGAGUUUGGUUUAUAGCUAGCUUUUGA
Rhododendron vialii is the source of this 5056-nucleotide RNA transcript. RefSeq lists it as uncharacterized. NCBI's taxonomy places the organism in Eukaryota, Viridiplantae, Streptophyta, Magnoliopsida, Ericales, Ericaceae. The record is from RefSeq and is a predicted model, not a curated record. The transcript is spliced from 2 exons.